RNAcentral lists this ribosomal RNA (1916 nucleotides) under unidentified. RNAcentral's name for it is "bacterial LSU rRNA". It matches the Rfam family "Bacterial large subunit ribosomal RNA", at positions 470 to 2494 of the family's 2925-position model. The record is from RNAcentral.
GUACUCCUCAGCGACCGAUAGUGAACAGUACCGUGAGGGAAAGGUGAAAAGCACCCCGACGAGGGGAGUGAAAUAGCACCUGAAACCGAAUGCUUACAAACAGUGGGAGCUCAAGGUUCGUCCUGAGUGACCGCGUACCUUUUGUAUAAUGGGUCAGCGACUUAAUCUGACGAGCAAGCUUAAGCCGAUAGGCGUAGGCGCAGCGAAAGCGAGUCUGAACAGGGCGUUCAGUUCGUCGGAUUAGACCCGAAACCGGGUGAUCUAGCCAUGAGCAGGUUGAAGGUAAGGUAACACUUACUGGAGGACCGAACCGGUGCCUGUUGAAAAAGUCUCGGAUGACUUGUGGCUAGGGGUGAAAGGCCAAUCAAACUCGGAAAUAGCUGGUUCUCCGCGAAAGCUAUUUAGGUAGCGCCUCGCGUGAAUACUUCGGGGGGUAGAGCACUGGAUGGGCAAGGGGUGCUUACCGCAUUACCGAUCCUAACCAAACUCCGAAUACCCGAAAGUACUGCGCGGGAGACACACGGCGGGUGCUAACGUCCGUCGUGGAGAGGGAAACAACCCUGACUUACAGCUAAGGCCCCUAAUUCGUGGCUAAGUGUGAAAGGAUGUGGGAAUCCCAAAACAACCAGGAGGUUGGCUUAGAAGCAGCCAUCCUUUAAAGAAAGCGUAACAGCUCACUGGUCUAAACAAGGGUUCCUGCGCCGAAAAUGUAUCGGGGCUCAAGCCACGAGCCGAAGCUUAAGGUUUGCACUUUGUGCAAGCGGUAGCGGAGCGUUCCAUAAGCCAACGAAGGCGGACCCGUGAGGGCUGCUGGAGGUAUUGGAAGUGCGAAUGCUGACAUGAGUAACGACAAACAGUGUGAAAGACACUGUCGCCGAAAGUCCAAGGGUUCCUGCGUAAAGUUAAUCUCCGCAGGGUUAGCCGGCCCCUAAGGCGAGGCCGAAAGGCGUAGUCGAUGGGAAUGAGGUGAAUAUUCCUCAGCCAGCUGGUAGUGACGGAUCUCGUACGCUGUCGGACCUUAUUGGAUUGGUCCGGCUUCCAAGAGGUUCCAGGAAAUAGCUCCAGCAAUAGACCGUACCCUAAACCGACACAGGUGGACUGGUAGAGUAUACCAAGGCGCUUGAGAGAAUGAUGCUGAAGGAACUCGGCAAUUUACCUCCGUAACUUCGGGAUAAGGAGGCCCAGUGUUCAGGCAACUGUUCAUUGGGGGCACAGACCAGGGGGUAGCGACUGUUUAACUAAAACACAGGGCUCUGCGAAAUCGCAAGAUGACGUAUAGGGUCUGACGCCUGCCCGGUGCCGGAAGGUUAAAAGGAGGUGUGCAAGCACCGAAUUGAAGCCCCGGUAAACGGCGGCCGUAACUAUAACGGUCCUAAGGUAGCGAAAUUCCUUGUCGGGUAAGUUCCGACCUGCACGAAUGGCGUAACGACUUCCCCGCUGUCUCCAGCAUCAACUCAGUGAAAUUGAAUUCCCCGUGAAGAUGCGGGGUUCCUGCGGUCAGACGGAAAGACCCCGUGCACCUUUACUGUAGCUUUGCGCUGGCAUUCGUGUCGGCAUGUGUAGGAUAGGUGGUAGACUUUGAAGCCGGGGCGCCAGCUCUGGUGGAGUCAUCCUUGAAAUACCACCCUUAUCGUCAUGGAUGUCUAACCGCGACCCGUCAUCCGGGUCCGAGACAGCGCAUGGCAGGCAGUUUGACUGGGGCGGUCGCCUCCCAAAGAGUAACGGAGGCGUGCGAAGGUGGGCUCAGAGCGGUCGGAAAUCGCUCGUUGAGUGCAAUGGCAUAAGCCUGCCUGACUGCGAGACUGACACGUCGAGCAGAGUCGAAAGACGGCCAUAGUGAUCCGGUGGUCCCGCGUGGAAGGGCCAUCGCUCAACGGAUAAAAGGUACGCCGGGGAUAACAGGCUGAUGAUCCCAA